AGUCGACGCCCCGCAAGGGGAGUGGUAGACGGGUGAGUAACGCGUGGGAAAUAAACUUUCCUGCGGAAUAGCUCCGGGAAACUGGAAUUAAUACCGCAUACGCCCUACGGGGGAAAGAUUUAUCGGGGAAGGAUUGGCCCGCGUUGGAUUAGCUAGUUGGUGGGGUAAAGGCCUACCAAGGCGACGAUCCAUAGCUGGUCUGAGAGGAUGAUCAGCCACAUUGGGACUGAGACACGGCCCAAACUCCUACGGGAGGCAGCAGUGGGGAAUAUUGGACAAUGGGCGCAAGCCUGAUCCAGCCAUGCCGCGUGAGUGAUGAAGGCCUUAGGGUUGUAAAGCUCUUUCACCGGAGAAGAUAAUGACGGUAUCCGGAGAAGAAGCCCCGGCUAACUUCGUGCCAGCAGCCGCGGUAAUACGAAGGGGGCUAGCGUUGUUCGGAAUUACUGGGCGUAAAGCGCACGUAGGCGGAUAUUUAAGUCAGGGGUGAAAUCCCAGAGCUCAACUCUGGAACUGCCUUUGAUACUGGGUAUCUUGAGUAUGGAAGAGGUAAGUGGAAUUCCGAGUGUAGAGGUGAAAUUCGUAGAUAUUCGGAGGAACACCAGUGGCGAAGGCGGCUUACUGGUCCAUUACUGACGCUGAUGUGCGAAAGCGUGGGGAGCAAACAGGAUUAGAUACCCUGGUAGUCCACGCCGUAUACGAUGAAUGUUAUCCGUCGGGCAGUAUACUGUUCGGUGGCGCAGCUAACGCAUUAAACAUUCCGCCUGGGGAGUACUGUCGCAGAUUAAAACUCAAAGGAAUUGACGGGGGCCCGCACAAGCGGUGGAGCAUGUGGUUUAGUCGAAGCAACGCGUCUAACCCUUACCAGCUCAUGACAUCCGGGUAUGGGGCUUUGGCAGACGAUGUCCUUCAGUUAGGCUGGCCCCCACAAAAUGCUGCCGCAUGCUGGACGUCAGCUUGGGUUCGUGUACAUG
Molecule: ribosomal RNA, 971 nt
Filed under: Rhizobium sp. 9RB3
Lineage: Bacteria; Pseudomonadati; Pseudomonadota; Alphaproteobacteria; Hyphomicrobiales; Rhizobiaceae
Description: bacterial SSU rRNA
Rfam family: Bacterial small subunit ribosomal RNA
Source: RNAcentral